AUUGAACGCUGGCGGCAGGCCUAACAAAUGCAAGUCGAACGAGUGGCGGACGGGUGAGUAAUGCCUGGGAAACUGCCUGAUGGAGGGGGAUAACUACUGGAAACGGUAGCUAAUACCGCAUACCAUCGGAUGAGCCCAGAUGGGAUUAGCUGGUUGGUGGGGUAACGGGUCACCAAGGCGACGAUCCCUAGCUGGUCUGAGAGGAUGACCAGCCACACUGGAACUGCGACACGGGCCAGACUCCGACGGGAGGCAGCAGUGGGGAAUAUUGCACAAUGGGCGCAAGCCUGAUGCAGCCAUGACGCGUGUAUGAAGAAGGCCUUCGGGUUGUAAAGUACUUUCAGCGAGGAGGCGUUACCCGCAGAAGAAGCACCGGCUAACUCCGUGCCAGCAGCCGCGGUAAUAC
Molecule: ribosomal RNA, 406 nt
Filed under: uncultured bacterium
Lineage: Bacteria
Description: partial 16S ribosomal RNA
Rfam family: Bacterial small subunit ribosomal RNA
Source: RNAcentral